GAUGAAGAACGUAGUGAAAUGCGAUAAGUAAUGUGAAUUGCAGAAUUCAGUGAAUCAUCGAAUCUUUGAACGCAACUUGCGCACCUUGGCAUUCCGAGGAGCAUGCCUGUUUGAGUGUCAUGAAACUAUCAAGCUACAAAUGUUCUUGUUAGCAUUUGUUGGUUUGGACAUUGGAUGCUUUGCUGGACAAUAUUGUACAGCUCAUCCGAAAUUUAUUAGCUGGUAUAAAUACCUUGGACUAUAUCCACUUGGCGUGAUAAGUAUCACCCGCUGAGGACUUGUUCAUUGGAGGUUGACUGCUUCUAGUAACCCAAUUAUAUUUGAAUCAUCUGACCUCAAAUCAGGUAGGACUACCCGCUGAACUUAAGCAUAUCAAUAAGCGGAGGA
This 387-nucleotide unclassified non-coding RNA is filed under the name soil metagenome. RNAcentral describes it as "partial contains 5.8S ribosomal RNA, internal transcribed spacer 2, and large subunit ribosomal RNA". The stretch from base 1 to 120 matches the Rfam family "5.8S ribosomal RNA", at positions 35 to 154 of the family's 154-position model. The record is from RNAcentral.